GUCCUCCUACGGGGGGCAGCAGUAGGGAAUCUUCCACAAUGGACGAAAGUCUGAUGGAGCAACGCCGCGUGAGUGAAGAAGGGUUUCGGCUCGUAAAUCUCUGUUGGUAGUGAAGAAAGAUAGAGGUAGUAACUGGCCUCUAUUUGGCGGUAAUUACUUAGAAAGUCACGGCUAACUACGUGCCAGCAGCCGCGGUAAUACGUAGGUGGCAAGCGUUGUCCGGAGUUAUUGGGCGUAAAGCGAGAGCA
Molecule: ribosomal RNA, 248 nt
Filed under: uncultured bacterium
Lineage: Bacteria
Description: partial 16S ribosomal RNA
Rfam family: Bacterial small subunit ribosomal RNA
Source: RNAcentral